UACGGAGGGUGCAAGCAUUAAUCGGAUUUAUUGGGCGUAAAGGGCGUGUAGGCGGAAAUAUAAGUCAGAUGUGAAAUUCCGGAGCUCAACUCCGGACCUGCAUUUGAAACUGUAUAUCUAGAGGAUAGGUGGGGAAAACGGAAUUCCACAUGUAGCGGUGAAAUGCGUAGAUAUGUGGAGGAACACCGGUGGCGAAGGCGGUUUUCUAACUUAUUCCUGACGCUGAGGCGCGAAAGCAAGGGGAGCAAACAGG
Molecule: ribosomal RNA, 253 nt
Filed under: uncultured bacterium
Lineage: Bacteria
Description: partial 16S ribosomal RNA
Rfam family: Bacterial small subunit ribosomal RNA
Source: RNAcentral